CCCAUGCGUAGGAGGUACCUGAUCGUAGACAAAUGAAAGCAAGAUUUGAAUGAUUAUUUUAGUCACAUCUGUUAGGGAUUCUUGCGGUCAAUUUUCAGUCUACAAAUGAUAUGUAAUUAUAUUUCGCCCGUUUUCUAUUUAGAUUUUCUAUUCACCAGGAUAGUGACACGGGGGGUCCAGGCAGCCCAACAAAUUAUCCGGUGAAACAAUUCCGUCUACGCUGUGCUGUGGUUUUUGGUUCGUUAACGUCACGUUUAAUUUUUCUAACUUGCGCUGGCAUUCUACACAUGGUGUAUUUUUUUUUUUUUAAUGAGGUGGGGGGGUUGGGCAUGCUCGACAUGGCCUUCCAGGAUGCAAUCAAAGGCACUAGAUCUAUGGACUCUCACUCCUGACACGAUGGCAGUUUUUCCUCAGACUAAGGGUCACUGUCUGGAGCAGUGGGUGGAUGAUCUUCUGAGUUGGCCCGCAUCAUUAGGACUAAAGCCGGAAGCAAGAGGGGUAGGAGAAGUGGUGUCUUUGCUGUGGAUUAGUAGGUCAUCAUCUGGAUCGGUCUGGCAGUUUGUGUUACUUUCACAAGUGAAUGCAGGAGAUGAAGAGGAAGGCCCAAGAAAACAUGACAGAGAACAUUGGAGACUGAGCACCAACAACAACUAGCAUAAUGUAGAGGGCUGCGGGUCCUGACCGAUCAUUGCGGCACGGUCAGCAUCUUUAACGCUGCGGGUCCCAUAGAUGAUUUAGAAAUGGUCAUCUUUCUGCUUUGUACGCGUUAGCCUAGUACUACAUGUAUUGGACCGUGGUUGGGACCUCUAAUUAAAUGCAAGACUCAUGAUUACCCUACAUUAACAAACGUGAUAUUACACUACAACUUACCUCUAAACUGUCCUGAUUAAGUUUGGCUGUGCACAGACAUUUUAAAGCAUUUUCCUCUGCUUCAUUCGUUAUUUUUCAGGACACUCGGUAGGGUUAGUUUGAAGCCUUGCUGGCAUGGUAGAGUAGUUCCUGACCUAAAAAUAGAUUGGUUUAUAUUUUGGUUGUACCUUAAGGUUGCUGGUACUUUAAUUGGGGAGGACUGACUGUGGUAAUGGUUGGAGUGAAAUGGUAUCAAAUCCAUUAAACACAUAGUUUCCAUGUGUUCAAUGCCAUUCCAAUGGUUCCGUUCCAGCCAUUAUUUUGAGCCGUCCUCCCCUAAGCAGCCUCCGCUGGUGAAAUAGUGUGUUUAGAGGUCAGAAUGGGAGUCCAAAUAGUCCUGCAUAACAGGAGAAAUAUCUUGGUUUCUGCAAAGCGUGUCAGUGAGUGGGUCCUAGUCUAGUUUGAGGUGGAAGAAGCAUGCCUUAUUUAAUGUAUUUGUUUUAAAUCAACUUAAAUUUCCAUGUUUCAAUCCAUUGUAUUGCUUCCCGAAGGAAAUCCAGCUUGAAGCUGUUCUCUUGUCUGAGAGCCCUCCAUGGAUUUCUAUCCCAGCAAGAUCUAGAAGGAAAAAGCAUGUGUUGGUCUGAUAGUGAUUUCUAUGUGCAAGGUUUUAAACUGUGUAAUACACCCUGUACUGAUUGCAUUUACAUUUGAUUGAAC
Molecule: long non-coding RNA, 1566 nt
Organism: Oncorhynchus tshawytscha (Chinook salmon)
Lineage: Eukaryota; Metazoa; Chordata; Actinopteri; Salmoniformes; Salmonidae
Source: Ensembl